Long non-coding RNA from Dufourea novaeangliae, 420 nucleotides. RefSeq lists it as uncharacterized. The transcript is spliced from 3 exons. NCBI's taxonomy places the organism in Eukaryota, Metazoa, Arthropoda, Insecta, Hymenoptera, Halictidae. The record is from RefSeq and is a predicted model, not a curated record.
UCGAAGUAUCGCGGUUGGUGAAACUUUUUUGAUCAUGGUAUAUUCGAGGAUCCUCGUCUGAGUUCCAGUUCCCUUGUUCGACGCUUUUCGAGCGAAAAAUUUCUAUUCAAAGGGAACGAUGUUUCGAACGCGCUACUACGAAAUUGUUACUACAUACAAAGAAAGACAGAAGUAGAUUGUAAUUGACCCAAAGAGAAAUAAUAACUACAAAACCACCAUGAAUUAUCAUAGUUACAAGACCAGAGGAGCUGAUAAAUGGGAUUUAAAUCACUAGUCUGUGGAAGGAUGUUCCCUCGAGACGGAUACGCGCUGUCGUUGGCAUGGAAUGGCGACGUGGAAGACGCGGUUGACCCGUUUAAAAAAGAUCACCCUCGCAUCUGUUGCUGAGUGCAACAGAUCCCCGAUCCGGACGGAGAAGCC